GACGAACGCUGGCGGCUUGCUUAACACAUGCAAGUCGAACGGACAGGCCCUGCUUGCAGGGUCCUCUAGUGGCGAACGGGUGCGUAACACGUGGGUGAUCUCCCCUGCACUUCGGGAUAAGCCUGGGACACUGGGUCUUAUACCGGAUAGGAGCCCUUUUUAGUGUGAUGGUUGGAAAGUUUUUUCGGUGUAGGAUGAGCUCGCGGCCUAUCCGCUUGUUGGUGGGGUAAUGGCCUACCAAGGCGGCGACGGGUAGCCGGCCUGAGAGGGUGGACGGCCACAUGGGGAAGGAGAUACGGCCCAGACUCCUACGGGAGGCAGCAGUGGGGAAUAUUGCACAAUGGGCGCAAGCCUGAUGCAGCGACGCCGCGUGGGGGAUGACGGCCUUCGGGUUGUAAACUCCUUUCGCUAGGGACGAAGCGUUUUGUGACGGUACCUAGAUAAGAAGCACCGGCUAACUACGUG
Molecule: ribosomal RNA, 465 nt
Filed under: uncultured bacterium
Lineage: Bacteria
Description: partial 16S ribosomal RNA
Rfam family: Bacterial small subunit ribosomal RNA
Source: RNAcentral